This 342-nucleotide long non-coding RNA is filed under the name Elaeis guineensis (African oil palm). RNAcentral describes it as "long non-coding RNA (EGUI_LNC053878)". Lineage: Eukaryota; Viridiplantae; Streptophyta; Magnoliopsida; Arecales; Arecaceae. The record is from RNAcentral.
GUCCUCUUAACCAAGGAGUGUGGAGACACUGGUAUGGCAUACAGGUGAGAUGUAAGGGUACAUCUGCAUUGAACGUGACCGACUCCAAAGCUAUCUCUGCUGUCAAGAUUUGCUCUGAUGGGAUAUGGAUAUAAAUAUCCCUCCGACCUGAGACCGCCACGGUGACUUGCAAGCAACUCACUGCACUUUGGCACUGGACUACCUGAAUUUCUAAUUCAGUGACGGAAGGUUGCUGGGUGUAGUCAAGUACUUGACUUGUCGGUGCGUGUGUCAAGAUGGGAUUGACCACUCCAGAUCAGGAGCUGUGUACAGUCGUAUUUUAAUUUAGCAAAACCUUGGCCA